Molecule: ribosomal RNA, 325 nt
Filed under: uncultured Ruhlandiella
Lineage: Eukaryota; Fungi; Ascomycota; Pezizomycetes; Pezizales; Pezizaceae
Description: eukaryotic LSU rRNA
Rfam family: 5.8S ribosomal RNA (bases 1-102)
Source: RNAcentral
AUGCAAUAAGUAAUGUGAAUUGCAGAAUCUCAUAAAUCAUCGAAUCUUUGAACGCACAUUGCGCCCUAUGGUAUUCCGUAGGGCAUGCUUGUCUGAGCGUCAGCUCCACCACACUCAAGUCUCUUAAUUGAAGCUUAGAUCACUUUAAAGAAGUGGCUGAAACAUAAAUAGGCUUCUCUUUAGAAAUUUAUAGGCAGUAUGGCACCUGAACCAGCCGUAAUAAGAAUAUAAAAGCGUCUCUCUUUAGGAAGGUUGUACUUGCCUUAAACCCACACAUUUUCUUCUGGGUGACCUCAGAUCAGGUAGGGAUACCCGCUAAACUUAA